This 465-nucleotide ribosomal RNA is filed under the name Vreelandella stevensii. Its description in RNAcentral is "partial 16S ribosomal RNA". It matches the Rfam family "Bacterial small subunit ribosomal RNA", at positions 338 to 795 of the family's 1533-position model. Lineage: Bacteria; Pseudomonadati; Pseudomonadota; Gammaproteobacteria; Oceanospirillales; Halomonadaceae. The record is from RNAcentral.
CCUACGGGUGGCAGCAGUGGGGAAUAUUGGACAAUGGGCGAAAGCCUGAUCCAGCCAUGCCGCGUGUGUGAAGAAGGCCUUCGGGUUGUAAAGCACUUUCAGUGGGGAAGAAAGCCUUGGGGCUAAUACCCUCGAGGAAGGACAUCACCCACAGAAGAAGCACCGGCUAACUCCGUGCCAGCAGCCGCGGUAAUACGGAGGGUGCGAGCGUUAAUCGGAAUUACUGGGCGUAAAGCGCGCGUAGGCGGUCUGAUAAGCCGGUUGUGAAAGCCCCGGGCUCAACCUGGGAACGGCAUCCGGAACUGUCAGGCUAGAGUGCAGGAGAGGAAGGUAGAAGUCCCGGUGUAGCGGUGAAAUGCGUAGAGAUCGGGAGGAAUACCAGUGGCGAAGGCGGCCUUCUGGACUGACACUGACGCUGAGGUGCGAAAGCGUGGGUAGCAAACAGGAUUAGAUACCCCGGUAGUC